Molecule: ribosomal RNA, 200 nt
Filed under: uncultured bacterium
Lineage: Bacteria
Description: partial 16S ribosomal RNA
Rfam family: Bacterial small subunit ribosomal RNA
Source: RNAcentral
UACGGAGGAUCCAAGCGUUAUCCGGAAUCAUUGGGUUUAAAGGGUCCGUAGGCGGGCCAUUAAGUCAGGGGUGAAAGUCUGCAGCUCAACUGUAGAAUUGCCCUUGAUACUGGUGGUCUUGAGUUAUAGUGAAGUAACUAGAAUAUGUAGUGUAGCGGUGAAAUGCAUAGAUAUUACAUAGAAUACCGAUUGCGAAGGCA